CCUACGGGAGGCAGCAGUGGGGAAUAUUGGGCAAUGGGGGAAACCCUGACCCAGCAACGCCGCGUGAGGGAUGAAGGCUAUAUUAGUUGUAAACCUCUGUCUUAUGGGAAGAAGGAAUGACAGUACCAUAGGAGGAAGCUCCGGCUAACUACGUGCCAGCAGCCGCGGUAAUACGUAGGGAGCGAGCGUUGUCCGGAAUUACUGGGCGUAAAGGGUGCGUAGGCGGUUAGUUAAGUUAGAUGUGAAAUCCUCGGGCUCAACUCGGGGAUGCAUCUAAAACUGGCUGACUUGAGUGCAGGAGAGGAAAGCGGAAUUCCUAGUGUAGCGGUGGAAUGCGUAGAUAUUAGGAGGAACACCAGUGGCGAAGGCGGCUUUCUGGACUGUAACUGACGCUGAGGCACGAAAGCGUGGGGAGCAAACAGGAUUAGAUACCCCUGUAGUC
This 442-nucleotide ribosomal RNA is filed under the name uncultured Christensenella sp. RNAcentral describes it as "bacterial SSU rRNA". It matches the Rfam family "Bacterial small subunit ribosomal RNA", at positions 338 to 795 of the family's 1533-position model. Lineage: Bacteria; Bacillati; Bacillota; Clostridia; Christensenellales; Christensenellaceae. The record is from RNAcentral.